UACGUAGGGGGCAAGCGUUGUCCGGAUUUAUUGGGCGUAAAGAGCGUGUAGGCGGUCAGAUAGGUCCGUUGUGAAAACUCGAGGCUCAACCUCGAGACGCCGAUGGAAACCAUCUGACUAGAGUCCGGAAGAGGAGAGUGGAAUUCCUGGUGUAGCGGUGAAAUGCGCAGAUAUCAGGAAGAACACCCGUGGCUAAGGCGGGUCUCUGGGCCGUUACUGACGCUGAGGAGCGAAAGCGUGGGGAGCGAACAGG
RNAcentral lists this ribosomal RNA (253 nucleotides) under uncultured bacterium. RNAcentral describes it as "partial 16S ribosomal RNA". It matches the Rfam family "Bacterial small subunit ribosomal RNA", at positions 524 to 776 of the family's 1533-position model. The record is from RNAcentral.